This 1324-nucleotide ribosomal RNA is filed under the name unidentified. Its description in RNAcentral is "bacterial SSU rRNA". It matches the Rfam family "Bacterial small subunit ribosomal RNA", at positions 30 to 1343 of the family's 1533-position model. The record is from RNAcentral.
AUGACGCUGGCGGCAGGCCUAACACAUGCAAGUCGAACGGUAACAGGAAGCAGCUUGCUGCUUCGCUGACGAGUGGCGGACGGGUGAGUAAUGUCUGGGGAUCUGCCUGAUGGAGGGGGAUAACUACUGGAAACGGUAGCUAAUACCGCAUAACGUCGCAAGACCAAAGAGGGGGACCUUCGGGCCUCUUGCCAUCAGAUGAACCCAGAUGGGAUUAGCUAGUAGGUGGGGUAACGGCUCACCUAGGCGACGAUCCCUAGCUGGUCUGAGAGGAUGACCAGCCACACUGGAACUGAGACACGGUCCAGACUCCUACGGGAGGCAGCAGUGGGGAAUAUUGCACAAUGGGCGCAAGCCUGAUGCAGCCAUGCCGCGUGUAUGAAGAAGGCCUUCGGGUUGUAAAGUACUUUCAGCGAGGAGGAAGGUGGUAAGGUUAAUAACCUUAUCAAUUGACGUUACUCGCAGAAGAAGCACCGGCUAACUCCGUGCCAGCAGCCGCGGUAAUACGGAGGGUGCAAGCGUUAAUCGGAAUUACUGGGCGUAAAGCGCACGCAGGCGGUCUGUCAAGUCGGAUGUGAAAUCCCCGGGCUCAACCUGGGAACUGCAUUCGAAACUGGCAGGCUAGAGUCUUGUAGAGGGGGGUAGAAUUCCAGGUGUAGCGGUGAAAUGCGUAGAGAUCUGGAGGAAUACCGGUGGCGAAGGCGGCCCCCUGGACAAAGACUGACGCUCAGGUGCGAAAGCGUGGGGAGCAAACAGGAUUAGAUACCCUGGUAGUCCACGCCGUAAACGAUGUCGACUUGGAGGUUGUUCCCUUGAGGAGUGGCUUCCGGAGCUAACGCGUUAAGUCGACCGCCUGGGGAGUACGGCCGCAAGGUUAAAACUCAAAUGAAUUGACGGGGGCCCGCACAAGCGGUGGAGCAUGUGGUUUAAUUCGAUGCAACGCGAAGAACCUUACCUGGCCUUGACAUCCACGGAAUUCGGCAGAGAUGCCUUAGUGCCUUCGGGAACCGUGAGACAGGUGCUGCAUGGCUGUCGUCAGCUCGUGUUGUGAAAUGUUGGGUUAAGUCCCGCAACGAGCGCAACCCUUAUCCUUUGUUGCCAGCGAUUCGGUCGGGAACUCAAAGGAGACUGCCGGUGAUAAACCGGAGGAAGGUGGGGGAUGACGUCAAGUCAUCAUGGCCCUUACGGCCAGGGCUACACACGUGCUACAAUGGCGUAUACAAAGAGAAGCGAACUCGCGAGAGCAAGCGGACCUCAUAAAGUACGUCGUAGUCCGGAUCGGAGUCUGCAACUCGACUCCGUGAAGUCGGAAUCGCUAGUAAUC